GGCCAAACUAGGUAACCACCCUUAAAUCUUUACAAAACCCUAACUCCAAAAUAAUUACGCUCAAACCCUCUUUUUUUUUCCCAACCCUUAGAUUAGAUCAUGAGAAAGAUCUCUACAAAACCCUAACUCCAAAAUAAUUAGGCUCAAACCCUAAUUGUUUUUUCCCAACCCUUAUAUUAGAUCAUGAGAAAGAGAGACUCUCUAUGUUAGAUUAGAUCAUGAGAAAAAG
This 229-nucleotide long non-coding RNA is filed under the name Amborella trichopoda. Its description in RNAcentral is "long non-coding RNA (ATRI_LNC002916)". Lineage: Eukaryota; Viridiplantae; Streptophyta; Magnoliopsida; Amborellales; Amborellaceae. The record is from RNAcentral.